GGGUUGUCAGUAACACAUAACUAAGGGUACGCUAAUGUCUCAUCAGCCAGUACAAUGGUAACUUCUCCCACAGGAUUUCCUGUGUCAUUAGUUUAAUGUAGCUCUCUUUUGUUCAUACUUCUGUGUUAUCACCAUCUCAGUAUGGCGGUUUGUUCUUUAGGCUGCACAAACAUUUAUUAUCUUUAGCUUUAAUUUUUUUUAUGAUAAAUGCACAUAUUUAUGUCAGUAUGAGUCUGGUAGUUAUCAAGAGGGUACUUAUUUAGUACAUUUUCAGUCUAAGUAAACUUAGACUCAGUAUUAUUCGUUACACUGCUAUACAGUGUGAGCAGGGUAGCAAAUAAUUCUGAGCCUAAGUUUACUUAGACUGGUACAUUUUCAGCACAACUUCGAUGUAUUCAUUUUAUAGUUUAUUCAUUAAUUUUUUGAAUUUUUUUUUUUAUAUAUUCAUCAAUUUGUUCAGAUGUGUCUGAAUUUAAUUUAGAAGAUAAUGUCACUAUGCAGAAAUAAUGUGACAAUUUAUACCAUUAUAGACGGUGAGUAAUGUAACCAAACAGAUAUGUUAUGCACCUUUAUGUCAUUUCUUAGAUGGUUUUGUUUGGUGAAUAAUUUACCCUUAUAUCAUUUCUCAACCAAACAAACACGUUUGUUACAAGUACAGUUCAAGUUGACAAUAAGUGGCUAUCUGUACUGACCUUAACACUGACAGAUUGUUUUACUGUUACCAAUGUAUGCCAAUGAAUACUUUCAUAAAGAAGACUAAUUUAAUUUUAGUUUUCUCAAGCAAUUUUUUUAUUUAUGCAUUCGACAAUCCUUGUUAAAAAGUGCAUUAUAUCGCAAAUAUAAAAAAUGGAAUGUAGAUAAUGUUUUUAAAUAUUUCAAUAUUACUCAGUUACAUAAAACUUUGUUUACUUAUCUAGAAUUUUGUAUAAUAUUUUCAUGCCAUAAUGCAAGAUGUUUGCGCAAGUGUGCAAUACGUGCUAGAUGUGUUAUCAUAUGCAGAUACAUGUAUGCUAGUAUGCUCCUUUCCUAGUCCAUGUCAAAGUGCCAUAAUAUUGUACAUAAUUUGUCCAAUGAGUAUUGAUACCGGUAUUUGUAUAUAGUUAUUGAUAUAUUUAAUAUAUUCAGUGAUCAUACGAGCAGAUUGUACAGUGUACAUUUAAGUAGUGUAGUACAUGUAGCUAGACAUUCCUUCCCUGUGUCAAGGUCUGGGCGUGUUUACAGGGGAAAGUUAAUAAUGAGAAUAACGUUGUUUUUAGUGUGAAUAUCUGUGAUUGCGUGUUGAAACAUUAUAUUAGCUUAGUGCUGAAACAAUGCUUACAAAACAUUGGUAUUUGGUUUUCUUGUUAUGCAACAGAAUUAUAUAUUUUAAUUCUUUGGGAGUUUGUAUGCUAACAAUAUGUUCAUGUUGAAAUCUCGAAUUAUUCUUUUAAAUCCACAAACUGUUUGUAGCGCUACGACAUUUGUAAGCCUAUGAUACACUAUAGAGUUACGACAAAGUCGUAGCGUUACGAACGCUUUGUGGUUCGGGACCCUAGUCAUUUAUUCAAGGGGUGGUCUGGGCGCUUACCGGUAUAUUUUGGGACUGGUCAAGUGGGGGGAGAAGGGGUAGGGUCAUGAAAAAAUGUUUUAUGGUCUUGUGUUGGGAUAGGAGCACUAACAAAUGUCAAAUAAACCGAAUAAAAUGGAAAUAGGGCAGCCAAAUAUGAUCUGGCCCUGAUUUCUCAAAACAAACUAAGUCUGAGUUUUGACUUCUUUGUUCUUAAUCAAAUUUGAGAAAAUGCAGGAACAUUUCCCAGAUUUUUACCGAAUCAAUAUUAAACUCAAACAUAGUAGACAAUUUGAGUUUGGUGGAUAAAUUACUUAAGUCGUUUGGGCUUUUUCAUUUUAAAAUGCAGUUGAGUUAAAAAUUCAGCCGUUUCAAAUUGUCAAACUCAGUUUGAAAUUUGAGUGAAAACUUGACUUAAGUUUGUUUCCAGAAAUCGGGGCCUGUAUAUUACGCAAGAGUCCAUAUUUCACACGUCAGUACAAACUUACGGCUUUAUGCAUGGUUAGUGUGAGUUGUAGUACGUGUUUACAAACAGAUGUGGUGUUUUAAAAAAUUAGAAAAUAAGCCUGAUUUUUGUUUGUUUAUUCGGUUUUGUUUUGUUUUGUCGAAUGACCCUUGUAGAACAUCACUGUAUAUAGAUUUGUUAAUAUAUGUUAGCAUACCAUGUACAUACUGUAAACAUGUAGCCACGAGAGCUGAUUGUGUGAGAGUUAUCGCCCUGUCAGUUUUUCCACGAUGGUGCAGUGGCACCGACAUACACCAUGUCUGGUGGGUUUUAGCCAGGGUUGUCAUAGAAUCAUGUAGUUGUGAAUCUGAAUGUAACUCGUCUCCAAUAAACGCAGUUUAUUUCAAAAUUACCUACAGUUUGGCUGACAGGUUAACCACGAAUUUGUAUCCAGUGUAAACACACCGUUUCAUGCAGGAAGUUUCUAGAAUUUGCUAACGUACUUUAAGUCCCUUUUGACCUUGACCUCUCGAAAGGAUUCCCUGAAAUUUUCACUGUUUGAUCAUGACGAAUUCCAAGUUUCGUUAUUUUUUCUAACGCACCAGUAUUAAUAAUGUCUGAUAAAUCAAUUAAAUCAAUAACAGAAUAACACGGAUAUUACAAUCUGUGCAGGGUUAACUCCCUUGACAGUGGUAGGAUCCGAAGUGUUUCCUACUCCGAAGUGAGUUUUGACCUCACAUGUUAUCAAGAUAAGAAGCUUGUAUAACCGAAAUUCUGUUCAAAUUAGCAUUGGCCACAUCCAGCUCACUAAUUUUCACGCCAUUUCUGAAACGAUGCUGGGGUAAUUAUCACAUAAGAAUGGGAGCAUAUUCAACUGGAAUGUCCGCGGUGACAUUCUCUGUCCUCAGUUGUUGGAGACAAGGUACAACCUGGUAAGAAUCACAGUAGAGACAUUCCACUAGCAUACAAUACUGCCCAAUGACCUAGGUAGGUGCGUUCUCAAAGAACUGACUUGUACCAUUCGUUAUUGUUAGUUGUCUAAUGUAUUUAAGAAGUAAAGAAAUGUACAUGUUACUGGCUCUAACAAACCCACAUCCUCGAUAAUCUCCAGGAUGUACGUUACGAUAACGUAUACCCUGGAGAUUAUCGAGGAUGACAAACCCACUCCCUUGCGGAAUAUUGUAGUGUUGGUUGUGCCCAUGUUCUACACAACAGUGCAGACACUCAGCUACAUCUCACAACCAAUUUUGUUUUUAUAAAGCAUGUAUGAUACAUUCUCUUGAUAACAUUAUACUUUACAGUUUUUUAGUUUUGUUGUGUCUUUCUGUGUCGACCAGUUAACAAGCAGCAAUGAUGUAAGUCAGUCCUUGAGAACGUUUUUGUAAACUGAUGAUAUUUUAUACUCGAGAAAAAUAAAACAUAUAAAUAUGA
Long non-coding RNA from Haliotis rubra (blacklip abalone), 3422 nucleotides. RefSeq lists it as uncharacterized. The transcript has 2 exons. The record is from RefSeq and is a predicted model, not a curated record. Lineage: Eukaryota; Metazoa; Mollusca; Gastropoda; Lepetellida; Haliotidae.